UGGCCUACGGGGGGCAGCAGUGGGGAAUAUUGCACAAUGGGGGAAACCCUGAUGCAGCGACGCCGCGUGAGUGAAGAAGUAUUUCGGUAUGUAAAGCUCUAUCAGCAGGGAAGAAGAAGGACGGUACCUGAGUAAGAAGCCCCGGCUAACUACGUGCCAGCAGCCGCGGUAAUACGUAGGGGGCGAGCGUUAUCCGGAAUUACUGGGUGUAAAGGGAGCGCAGGCGGUGCGGCAAGUCUGAUGUGAAAGCCCGGGGCUCAACCCCGGGACUGCAUUGGAAACUACCGAACUAGAGUGUCGGAGAG
Molecule: ribosomal RNA, 305 nt
Filed under: uncultured bacterium
Lineage: Bacteria
Description: bacterial SSU rRNA
Rfam family: Bacterial small subunit ribosomal RNA
Source: RNAcentral